AGUAAAUAUAGCCAUAGGCAACAGUAUAAGCAUUGACUGUGCUGAUAUUGUGGAUUGGAAGUUUUCCCAAUCCAUAGUCUAACAUGCUAAUGCUACUUUGUAGAAAUCCAAUUCUUUUCGCAUUUACUUUGAAAUCCGUUUCUUAUAUCUCAUCAGAAAGUGUUCUUCUGUUUGCGUUUGGACCAGCUGGAGAAUGGCAGUCAUCCAGAUAUGCUGGAAGUGAACUGACCACAGGGGUGAAGGAAACAGAAGAUAGAUUGAGGCUUGAGACUUGGAAAUCCAUUUCAAAUGUGUCUGCAAAAGAGGGCUUGUAAGUAAAUUGUAUUGGGAAUCUCGAGACACCUCAUGAAACGUCGGAGUUGUUUCUUUUGUUAGUUCAGUUGUAAAAUGAAAUCUGAUUGUUGCUAUUGGUUGUAGUGCCAUCAAUGGUAUAAAUAGGUCUUUGGGGCUGCUCAUUUCAGAGGUGUGGUUAACACUCUCCAGAGAGCAGCCUACCUUGGGAACUGUUCAGUGAAUCACCAGGGAUGAGAAAGACUUUAGUGACAAGAGUUAACUGCAUAUUUGUCAGAACCUUAAAAGGUAGCUGUAACAUCAUUUCCACUUAACAGUUUCAGUUCUUCUCUCAGUGGCUCUAACUUGGCCUUUGUAUUAUCAUCCUUGUCUUUAUUUCAUGUUAUUUUACUACAGCUAUGUAGACAUUGUUGCAGGAGG
This 711-nucleotide long non-coding RNA is filed under the name Oryctolagus cuniculus (rabbit). RNAcentral describes it as "lncRNA (ENSOCUG00000032214.1)". The record is from RNAcentral. Lineage: Eukaryota; Metazoa; Chordata; Mammalia; Lagomorpha; Leporidae.